This 379-nucleotide ribosomal RNA is filed under the name uncultured eukaryote. RNAcentral describes it as "partial 18S ribosomal RNA". It matches the Rfam family "Eukaryotic small subunit ribosomal RNA", at positions 592 to 976 of the family's 1831-position model. The record is from RNAcentral.
CAAUAGCGUAUACUAAAGUUGUUGCAGUUAAAAAGCUCGUAGUUGGAUUUCUGGUCGAAGCAGCCGCUCGGCUUCUAGUAAGUUUGUAGCAGGCGCUUCGUCCAUUUUUGUAAAGACUAUGUCUGUCAUUAAGUUGGUGGGCAUAGGACUUGCAUCAUUUACUGUGAGCAAAAUAGAGUGUUCAAAGCAGGCUUAGGCCAUGAAUAUCUUAGCAUGGAAUAAUAAGAUAAGACCUUGGUCUAUUUUGUUGGUUAGCAUUCCGAGGUAAUGAUUAAUAGGGAUAGUUGGGGGUAUUCGUAUUCAAUUGUCAGAGGUGAAAUUCUUGGAUUUAUUGAAGACGAACUACUGCGAAAGCAUUUACCAAGGAUGUUUUCAUUGA